RNAcentral lists this unclassified non-coding RNA (2675 nucleotides) under Apis dorsata (giant honeybee). Its description in RNAcentral is "v-type proton ATPase subunit C, transcript variant X2". Lineage: Eukaryota; Metazoa; Arthropoda; Insecta; Hymenoptera; Apidae. The record is from RNAcentral.
CUUUUGGUUUAUGAUUUAGUUGCCGGGUGGGUCGUAAGGCAGCAGCACACAAUUGUCAUCACGUGAGGUCACAAUGGUUUCUGAUGGUUUCGACGACUAGUGAUUAGAACAGCGAAUGUUUUGGAUUUCUUGAGAAAUUCAAGCAUCUGCCGUGUUCUGCAAAUAAAGAUAUAAUUCAAAAUAUUUAAUAAAUUAAGUAAUUUUCAUUGGAAUAUUGUUCAAAAUGACAGAAUAUUGGUUAAUAUCUGCACCAGGAGAUAAAACAUGUCAACAGACAUGGGAAACCAUGAACAAUUUAACAUCAAAACAACAUUCUUUAUCAGUUAAUUAUAAAUUUCACAUCCCAGAUUUAAAGGUGGGAACAUUGGAUCAAUUAGUUGGUUUAUCAGAUGAUCUAGGAAAAUUAGAUGCCUAUGUUGAACAAAUAACACGCAAAGUAGCAACAUAUUUGGGAGAAGUUUUAGAAGAUCAAAGAGACAAACUUCAUGAAAAUCUUUUGGCUAACAAUAGUCAAACGUCAGUGGAUGGGGAGAGCUCGAGCCCCGAAGGGGGUCCGGACACCCCGCCAAACACCCCCGUCACCCCAUCACACAAGUCUUCAAAGGAGCAUCACAAGCAGUGGAAGGAAUCGGAGAAAUGUGAACCAGAACCAGCCGCCUGUUUAGGUCAGCAUCAUUACCAGCGUCAUCAUCAUCAUGAACAUCAUCAUAGUCAUAAACAUUACAAUCAUCCUUCUGAUGUUGAAAAAAAAUCAUCACAUAGUCCUCAAGGCAUCUGUGAUGUUAGAUCAUCAAAUGAUCCUUUAUCAGCAUAUUCGUGCUACCAUGCGCAUUGGUGCGCUGCUUCUACCUCUUCUACACCUAUUCCUAGUCCUACUCCUACGAGUCCGAGUCUUUCCCUUUCAUCAAACUGUAGCAGUGAAGGAGAAACCAGAUGGCAGUCGGCGACACGUCAUCGGACUACUGAGAAAGCAGAUCGAUCUACCUCCAAUCGCAAAUCGUUUGGCAAUGACGACGACGAAGACGAUGCGGACCAAAACAACGACCAAGACCAAGACCAAGACCAUAGUGGCAAUUUGCCCAAUCCAGGUGAUCUACCAUCAUAUAUAACUCGAUUCCAGUGGGACAUGGCAAAAUAUCCUAUCAAACAAUCAUUAAGAAACAUUGCUGAUAUUAUCAGUAAACAAGUGGGUCAAAUUGAUGCAGAUCUUAAAACUAAAUCUACAACAUAUAAUAAUUUAAAAGGAAGUUUACAAAAUCUUGAAAAAAAACAGACAGGAAGUUUAUUAACAAGAAAUUUGGCAGAUUUAGUGAAGAAGGAGCACUUUAUUUUGGAUAGUGAAUAUUUAACUACUUUGCUUGUAAUUGUGCCAAGAGCAAAUUUCCAGGAUUGGUACAGUGGUUAUGAAAAAUUAACAAAAAUGGUAGUACCACGUACUACACAACUUAUUACUCAAGAUUCUGAAUAUGGAUUAUUUACUGUCACUUUAUUUAAAAAAGUUAUUGAAGAAUUUAAAUUACACGCACGUGAAAAAAAAUUUAUUGUUCGUGAUUUUACAUAUAAUGAAGAAGAACUAGCAGCAGGAAAAAAUGAAAUAACGAAAUUGGUAACUGAUAAAAAGAAACAAUUUGGUCCUCUUGUACGUUGGUUAAAGGUUAACUUUAGUGAAUGUUUUUGUGCAUGGAUUCAUGUUAAAGCUUUGCGUGUAUUCGUAGAAUCUGUUUUAAGGUAUGGAUUACCUGUGAAUUUCCAAGCAAUAUUGUUGCAUCCUCAUAGAAAAUGUGCAAGACGAUUACGUGAUGUUCUUAAUCAACAUUAUGCUCAUUUAGAUUCUUCUGCCACAGCAUCUUCUGCUGCUCAAGGAACUCAAGAUAGUGUGGAUAUACCAGGAUUAGGUUUUGGCCAAAAUGACUAUUUCCCUUAUGUGUAUUAUAAAAUCAACGUAGAUAUGGUUGAUAAUAAGGUUUAAUUAUUAAAGACAUCUAUUUUCUUAAAUUUUAAAUAUUCUUUAAUUUACGUAACACAUACUUCUAUAACUCCAGGUAUUUAAAGCAGGAGUAAAUUAAAUAUUUACUUAAAAAAUAUUUUUAUAAUAUUUUUAUAAUACAUCAAAUACCUGGAGAGAUGUAUGUACUUUGAUAUUAGCUCAAUAAACUAUGCAUAAUAGGAUGUACAAUCAUUUGUAUAAAUUUUAGCAAACACAUUUGAAUAUGUUGCAAACUUUUUUUUUUAAAUGGGCUAUAUUUAAUUGAACAAGAUACCAAUAAAUUAAAUUCAUCAAUAUAAUUAUUAACUGCUUUUCAAAGAAAAUUAAAAUAUUGAAAAAUUUAUUGUUUCGAUUAUAGUAACGAUAUAUUGCUUAAAAUAUCUGUAUGUAAAUGUAUCAAAAUUCUUACAAUUAAAUAUAGCACAAUUUAUUUUACAUAACACUACAUAAUGAGCGGAAAAUAUCGUGCCAGAAUAGAAAUUCUGCAAUGUAUAAUUGUAGUAUUUUAUGUAUUGUUUAUAAAAUUAAGAUCAUUGUGAAUAUUGUUAUAAAAGAGAAAGUUCAUCUUGUUAUAAAAACAUAUGUCAUAAUAUCUAUUUUGAUUCAAAUGCUUUUACCAUGUUUAUUCAAUAAUUCUUCAUAAUGCUUAUAUUAUACAAAAACUAGUAAAAUAAGUAUUAUUCAAAUA